This 396-nucleotide ribosomal RNA is filed under the name uncultured bacterium. RNAcentral describes it as "bacterial SSU rRNA". It matches the Rfam family "Bacterial small subunit ribosomal RNA", at positions 28 to 431 of the family's 1533-position model. The record is from RNAcentral.
GACGAACGCUGGCGGCGUGCUUAACACAUGCAAGUCGAGCGGUAAGGCCCUUUCGGGGGUACACGAGCGGCGAACGGGUGAGUAACACGUGGGUGACCUGCCCUCAGCUCUGGGAUAAGCCCGGGAAACUGGGUCUAAUACUGGAUAUGACUCCAUGACGCAUGUUGUGGGUGGAAAGCCUUGUGCGGCUGAGGAUGGGCCCGCGGCCUAUCAGCUUGUUGGUGGGGGAUGGCCUACCAAGGCGACGACGGGUAGCCGGCCUGAGAGGGCGACCGGCCACACUGGGACUGAGACACGGCCCAGACUCCUACGGGAGGCAGCAGUGGGGAAUCUUGCGCAAUGGGCGAAAGCCUGACGCAGCGACGCCGCGUGAGGGAUGACGGCCUGGUGUAACGU